AUUGAACGCUGGCGGCAUGCCUUACACAUGCAAGUCGAACGGCAGCACGGGAGCAAUCCUGGUGGCGAGUGGCGAACGGGUGAGUAAUAUAUCGGAACGUGCCCAGUCUGGGGGAUAACGUAGCGAAAGCUACGCUAAUACCGCAUACGAUCUAUGGAUGAAAGCGGGGGAUCGCAAGACCUCGCGCGAUUGGGAGCGGCCGAUAUCAGAUUAGGUAGUUGGUGAGGUAAAGGCUCACCAAGCCGACGAUCUGUAGCUGGUCUGAGAGGACGACCAGCCACACUGGGACUGAGACACGGCCCAGACUCCUACGGGAGGCAGCAGUGGGGAAUUUUGGACAAUGGGCGCAAGCCUGAUCCAGCAAUGCCGCGUGCAGG
RNAcentral lists this ribosomal RNA (377 nucleotides) under uncultured bacterium. RNAcentral describes it as "bacterial SSU rRNA". It matches the Rfam family "Bacterial small subunit ribosomal RNA", at positions 30 to 407 of the family's 1533-position model. The record is from RNAcentral.